UUUUUUUUUUUUUUAAUUCUUUUUUUUUUUUUUUUUUUUUUAAUUCUUUGAUUUGUCAAAGCUAUUAAAUUUUAAUUCGUAAUCAUGUUUAUAUCAAAGUUACACAAUAUUCUUUUAAAAAAAAAGGUUACAAAAUAUACUUUUUUUUUUUUUAAAGAAUCAAAUGAAAUACUUUUAAAAACGAAGAAAUAGAAUUAGCUAAGAUUGUUAAUAGAUUAGGAAACUUCCUCUAUCCAAAUUAGCUCUUCAGCACUAAGAGUAGAGCUUUUUUGCAAGGGCAUAGCCACUUGAUUUUCUAUUGUAUAAACAUAAGAGCAACUGAAAAAAUGAAAAAGAGCUUGCCACCAUCUUCACUCUUAGCAACUUUGUAUCCAAUUCUAUUGAUGGCAUCUCAUUCCUUUGCAGCCUCUAAAUCAGAGAUAAGCAAUCUCAAGUAGAAUGUGAGAGAAUCCCAACUCCAUACAUCUGUUUAGCGCAAAAGGAGCAGCUCAGCUUCUGCCUCCUCAGGAUUAAGAGCCAAGUGUCGCGAUGUCCAAGCUGGCCAGUGCAUGAAAAAUGCCACACAUUUGCUGACGUCAUGUACCGUCUAAAAAAAAUCUGAAGAAGAUGCUUCGAAAUUGCAGAAAAUUUAAAGCAGGUGCUUCUAAAUUUCUAGUGAUGCUUCCCUGUACAUUUCAUAGGACAAAAAAAGUCAUUCUUGACAUCCAAGAAAAUUUCAUUUUCAUCAAGAAAAAAAAGGGUCCACAGAAAGGAGAAAGUCCAAGAAAGUUGGCUACCAUCAUCCAAUGCACCGUACUCCAAAAUGCCACAUCUUUGCUUACGCAAUCCACCGUCCAUAAUUUUUCUGUAACGCCUAAUCUCAUGUUUAAUGCAUGAUUAAUGCACAUAAACACCAUAAAAAGCAGUUUCUUGGAAAUCAAGCAAAAAGAGAGUCAACUCUCUUUGAAUUCUAAAAUCUUGGCCAAGUUCACAUUAUAUAUAGAGAGUUGAGGAAGCCUGUAGAAGUAAUCAUCUUCAUUUCCACCAACGCUAUCUUGAGUUUCAGACAAGUGAGUUUCUUUUAUAUAUUUGAUUUGAUUUCUUGGAGAUAUGGCAACAGGAGCUGCUUUUGGAGGGUCUACUUUAGCAGAAGCUUACACCAUGAGAAAGCUUCAUCAAGAAAAAAUGAAGAAA
This is a non-coding RNA of Jatropha curcas, 1173 nucleotides long. The record is from RefSeq and is a predicted model, not a curated record. Lineage: Eukaryota; Viridiplantae; Streptophyta; Magnoliopsida; Malpighiales; Euphorbiaceae.